GGGACUCUCAUUUACUGCUGAGGGAUUUGGGUGCCACUGACACCUGCUUCUCCCAGGAAGAUGCCCACCUGUUGCCUGGGCACUGAGGGUGAAGUCUGCCUGAGUUGCAGGCGACCCUCACUGGAGAUGGAGGGGGCUGCCUGUGACCAUCCCUGCUCCUCCCCUAGUACUGGACUGAUGAGUUUCUCCAGUGGAACCCUGAGGACUUUGACAACAUCACCAAGUUGUCCAUCCCCACGGACAGCAUCUGGGUCCCAGACAUUCUCAUCAAUGAGUUCGUGGAUGUGGGGAAGUCUCCAAAUAUCCCGUACGUGUAUAUUCGGCAUCAAGGCGAAGUUCAGAACUACAAGCCCCUUCAGGUGGUGACUGCCUGCAGCCUCGACAUCUACAACUUCCCCUUCGAUGUCCAGAACUGCUCACUGACCUUCACCAGCUGGCUGCACACCAUCCAGGACAUCAACAUCUCUUUGUGGCGCUUGCCAGAAAAGGUGAAAUUCGACAGGAGUGUCUUCAUGAACCAGGGAGAGUGGGAGUUGCUGGGGGUGCUGCCCUACUUUCGGGAGUUCAGCAUGGAAAGCAGUGACUACUAUGCAGAAAUGAAGUUCUAUGUGGUCAUCCGCCGGCGGCCCCUCUUCUAUGUGGUCAGCCUGCUGCUGCCCAGCAUCUUCCUCAUGGUCAUGGACAUCGUGGGCUUCUACCUGCCCCCCAACAGUGGCGAGAGGGUCUCUUUCAAGAUCACACUCCUCCUGGGCUACUCAGUCUUCCUGAUCAUCGUUUCUGACACGCUGCCGGCCACUGCCAUCGGCACUCCUCUCAUUGGUGUCUACUUUGUGGUGUGCAUGGCUCUGCUGGUGAUAAGUUUGGCCGAGACCAUCUUCAUUGUGCGGCUGGUGCACAAGCAAGACC
RNAcentral lists this small RNA (906 nucleotides) under Pongo abelii (Sumatran orangutan). Its description in RNAcentral is "retained intron". The record is from RNAcentral. Lineage: Eukaryota; Metazoa; Chordata; Mammalia; Primates; Hominidae.